Molecule: non-coding RNA, 136 nt
Organism: Triticum aestivum (bread wheat)
Lineage: Eukaryota; Viridiplantae; Streptophyta; Magnoliopsida; Poales; Poaceae
Source: Rfam
UGUGCACUCCCUCCGUUCCAAAAUACUUGACUUCCAUUUGUCCAAAAAUGGAUGUACCUAUAUACUAAAACAUGUCUAGAUACAUAUAUAUUUUGACAAAUAGAAGGCAUGUAUUGUGUAACGGAGGGAGUAGAAU